Long non-coding RNA from Sapajus apella (tufted capuchin), 2341 nucleotides. RefSeq lists it as uncharacterized. The transcript is spliced from 2 exons. The record is from RefSeq and is a predicted model, not a curated record. NCBI's taxonomy places the organism in Eukaryota, Metazoa, Chordata, Mammalia, Primates, Cebidae.
ACCUGGUGUGGAAAUACUUUAUGUGUGGGGAACUAGGAGAGUAUCCUACGUCUUCUCUCUCAUCACAGACCCUUCCUUUUAAUGGUGGUUGGUGUGCCUGGUCCACCAAGAUGGAAGCUCCACAGUUUGCAGCCUUUGGGGGAUCUCAGAGGAAAGCUACACAGGAAUUAGGCCAGCCCAGGAAUAUAGGAGUUGCACAACUGCACUGUGUCCUGUGCACACCAGGCCUGUUGCUUCUCAGUAAUGGAAAAUGCCUGCAGUAGGUUCAGGAGAUGUUUCCUCUCCAUGCACCUUUGUUUCUCUUUACUCCUUAGACUCAGCCAAGACUUACACCAAGAGGAGUGUUUUUGAGGCUGUCAUCCAGCAGUUCUCAUGAAAUCCAUUUCUCUGAACACACGUAGUGACCAUAAGAGUACAAGCUAGCUUUGAAGCCCCAGGAUUCAUGAUAAUGAGCUCAGUAGAUUUAUUGGUCCAGGAGACCCUUCUCAGUAAAAGUUAUUUUGUUCCAAUAUGAGCCAAGUGCUUAAUGUCUUGACAGCCUAUAAAACAAGUUAGUUCUAUCACCUUUCUCCUGAGUAGCUUUUUAAAUUACAAAUCAAAUAACUGCUUACUUUCCUAUAGUUAAAGGGAAUCUAGACCUGUGGCAUUGCAGAUAAGAAACCAUUUUCUUGUACCUACAUAAAAUGACAGAAAGCAUAAAAUUGACCUGUCUGCAAGCCACACCAUACUAAGCCUAGAAAUAUUAAAAUGUUUGUGCGGACAAAAAUGAUCAAGGCCUAAGGGCUGACUUGCAAAGAGGGACGGACUUGCAAAAGGUGGAGCAAGGAAAGCGCUUCAGGGAAGUGCUUAGAAAAUCCCAUCGAAGCACAUAUGAGAGGUAUCCAGCCACAAUCUAGUUUGAUCCUACUGCAUUUUCUAAAAGUGAACUGAGGUAGUACCAUCAUCAGAGCUGGGAGUUACUCUUAUCUUUCUGCAGUAGGUUAGAGAUUUGAAAGCACAAAUGCACCUGUGUGAGACACCCCCUUCACUUAACUUACCUGCUUUGUGCCUCAGUUUCCUCAUCUGCAAAAUGAGAACACUGUGUCUCCCUCAGACGGCCGUCAUAGGGAUUACAUGCAGCUGUUCAGGUCAGGGGCUUAGAAUAGCACUGCCGAACGAUUGCCGGCUAUUAUUGUCUUUGUCAUUCUAUAUUCCUUCCCCCGUCCAAAACACCAUAAAGAAUUCACCGUUCAGAUCACUAGGAUUAGCUCAUUCCAUUAGGGGUGGAUGUUGGCAGGCUAAAGGGAAUGGAUUAUUUUCCCUCAUCUAAAAAUAGGCCUGGCUAUAUUUUGAGGUUUUAGGCAAAGAGGUCUCAGGAUAUACUUGUGAUUGCCAUUAUGUGGCCUAUUUUGGUCACUUUGUAUCAGAAAUCUUUCGAGACUUGUGUCUGUUUCUGAGACUUUUUGUCUCAUGCCAUCAUGUCCCUGGACAACAAAUCCUGUCCUCCCUCAGCAGGGCAGCAGAGCUCAGUUGGUGGUCUCUCUCAUCCCUGCCAAGGGGUCUCCCCCAAAAGACAGGAGAUUGCCCUUUGAACAACACCCCCUUGCCCCUGUAGACACUUUGACUUUUCCUCCAGUCUGCCUCUAGUUGGCUUUGCCUCUUCUCUGUUCUUUUGAGUCUUCUUCUUUUCAUCACUUGCAAUGCAGGCCAGUCCCAGUGCUUGAUGCAGGGCACAUAAUGGUGAGAGGAGCAGGCCCGACCCUCGUAGCCCUCACAGUCUGGAGCACGGCACAGUGACUGCCGUUUCAUGAGUGCUCACCCUGUACACGCUCGCACUACCACCUUUGAGGUAGAUGGUAUCUUCCAGUUACAGCUGAGGAGUCCGAGGCUGGGUGAGGUUAGGCAACUUGCUCAGAGUCAUACUGCCAGUCACUGGCAGAGGCAGGAGAGCCACACAACUCUGUCGAUUCCCAAGUCUACACUGCCUUUUAUUCAAGCACAUGAAAAAGUCCCUGCAUCAGUGAAACUGGCAUUUCACGUUGCAGUUUACAUCUGUGCUUUCAAGUCUCUACCCUAUCACAGAAAGGUAAGAGUAACUCUCAGCUUCUGAUGAUGCUACCUCAGUUCACUUUUAGAAAACGCAAUAGGUUCAAACUAGAUUGUGGUUGGAUGCCUCUCAUAUGUGCUUUGGGAGGGAUUUUCUAAGCCAUCUGGACCCUGACUUGUUUGUGGCUUCAACCGAUUUGCCCCUUUGGGUAUCAAAGCAGUAUUGGAUGUGUCUGGUAAGAACCAGAAAACAAGGACACUGUUCGAAUUAUUCCACUGAUAAGGAAAGCCCGCAACUAAAAAAGAAAAAAAAAAA